This 344-nucleotide ribosomal RNA is filed under the name uncultured bacterium. Its description in RNAcentral is "bacterial SSU rRNA". It matches the Rfam family "Bacterial small subunit ribosomal RNA", at positions 1 to 334 of the family's 1533-position model. The record is from RNAcentral.
AGUGUAGAUUCAGAGUUUGAUCCUGGCUCAGGAUGAACGCUGGCGGCGUGCUUAACACAUGCAAGUCGAACGGACUUUUGAUGAAGCCUAGCGAUUCAAAAGUUAGUGGCGGACGGGUGAGUAACGCGUGAAUAACCUGCCUUAUACUGGGGGACAACAGUUGGAAACGACUGCUAAUACCGCAUAAGCGCACAGUUCUGCAUGGAACAGUGUGAAAAACUCCGGUGGUAUAAGAUGGAUUCGCGUCUGAUUAGCUAGUUGGUGAGGUAACGGCUCACCAAGGCAACGAUCAGUAGCCGGCCUGAGAGGGUGAACGGCCACAUUGGGACUGAGACACGGCCCAA